Molecule: long non-coding RNA, 684 nt
Filed under: Phoenix dactylifera (date palm)
Lineage: Eukaryota; Viridiplantae; Streptophyta; Magnoliopsida; Arecales; Arecaceae
Description: long non-coding RNA (PDAC_LNC004282)
Source: RNAcentral
UUUGAUCAUAAUUCAUAACAACCGGCAAUAUCUGUAGCUCUUUUUUUUUCUAUUGUUAUGUUUUACAACCGGCUGAUCUCAUGUCGAUGCCUUCAACUAGGAGGAAAAAAAAUUGUCAGGAAUUAAGUCCUCCUAAUGCACUCAAAAAUCAGCUUUUUCCGGAGGGAGAAGGGGAAAAAAUCUUCCUCGAAGCGUCAAAAUCGCAGCUUGAGCUUCCUUUUGACCCAGAUGAGCAUAUAUUGACACUGUGACAAUAGAACGAACACAUUACAAACAACAAUUUUUCCUCUACUCCACGAGCUCCCACAAACUGCAAUGCUAAAAUUGCCGUCCAUUCUACAGAGUAAUCGCCGGUUUGUCCCAAAAUUUCAAAUAAAAAAAGGAAGAAAAUUCAUGCACACGACCGCUACCGAGCAAAGCGACGUGCUCCAAUGUUCUCAUCGGAUGACUAAUCGAUUAGCAACAUAAAAAGAUGAGGGAUAAAAGGAGGAAUUUCUUGACAGACCAAAGAGGAGGAAGCAGGACCUUCUUCUCCAUGGACUGCACGAAGUACUCCACCGGCACCAUGAAUCACUGCUGCUCUUCCUCCCCUUCUAUCCCAACCUUUGUUCCCACGAACCCUUUGGGCGGCUUUUACUGUAGCUCUGCGGACUGCGGUGGGCUUUUCUUUGAGCUGGCCCUGUG